RNAcentral lists this long non-coding RNA (570 nucleotides) under Phoenix dactylifera (date palm). RNAcentral describes it as "long non-coding RNA (PDAC_LNC021253)". The record is from RNAcentral. Lineage: Eukaryota; Viridiplantae; Streptophyta; Magnoliopsida; Arecales; Arecaceae.
UCACAGAGAUAUCAAAAAUAUCUGAUGUACUUCGAUGAAAAUGAGGGACAGAUUCAUGAGAAAAGUUCAGCGUGAACACCAUAGAUGUCUCCAUACAUCCCGUGGUAUUAGAAUGUGUAAGCAUAUGAUGACAUGCUUUUCAACUUGGGAUGCAGAUAAUGCUAAUGAUAUCUUAUGGAAUCCUUGUGUAGGUUGUAGAACUCCUGUCAGCAUUUUCUCAGCCGCUCCUAUAUAGUCUCAUGCACAAGGAAAAUUGACAGCAUAUAUGCAUGGACGGAAUACCCUUUCUGUUAUAAUUUGGCACCGCUAUAAAAACUCAUGCAAGGAUUCAGAUGCUUGCAUAGCACUGGGCUUUGGGGAUAUAUUGCUAGUUAUUGUCCGACUAGAUGUAUCAUGUCUUUCUCAUUGCCAUAUUUGCCAUUCUUCAAUUCUUACAUCCAGUAGCCUAUAUAUGAAUGUAAGAUGAAAACAUAUUCCAUGGUGCAAGUUGGAUAAACAUGCUUUUUAAUUAUUCCUGUUCUAUAUGGAUGGCUUUUAACAUUUGACAAUAAAUGCUCAUUUUUUAAAAGG